This 403-nucleotide ribosomal RNA is filed under the name uncultured bacterium. RNAcentral's name for it is "partial 16S ribosomal RNA". It matches the Rfam family "Bacterial small subunit ribosomal RNA", at positions 30 to 526 of the family's 1533-position model. The record is from RNAcentral.
AUUGAACGCUGGCGGCAGGCCUAACACAUGCAAGUCGAGCGAGCGGCGGACGGGUGAGUAAUGUAUGGGGACUGCCCGGUAGAGGGGGAUAACUCCUGGAAACGGUAGCUAAUACCGCAUACUAUCGGAUAACCCAUAUGGGAUUAGCUAGUAGGUGAGGUAAUGGCUCACCUAGGCGACGAUCCCUAGCUGGUCUGAGAGGAUGAUCAGCCAAACUGGAACUGAGACACGGCCCAGACUCCUACGGAGGCAGCAGUGGGGAAUAUUGCACAAUGGGGGCAAGCCUGAUGUAGCCAUGCCGCGUGUAUGAAGAAGGCCCUAGGGUUGUAAAGUACUUUCAGUCGGGAGGCGUUACCGACAGAAGAAGCACCGGCUAACUCCGUGCCAGCAGCCGCGGUAAUAC